This 419-nucleotide ribosomal RNA is filed under the name uncultured bacterium. RNAcentral describes it as "bacterial SSU rRNA". It matches the Rfam family "Bacterial small subunit ribosomal RNA", at positions 359 to 775 of the family's 1533-position model. The record is from RNAcentral.
GAAUAUUGGUCAAUGGGCGCAAGCCUGAACCAGCCAUGCCGCGUGCAGGAUGACUGCCCUAUGGGUUGUAAACUGCUUUUGUACGGGAAGAAACCCCUCUACGUGUAGAGGCUUGACGGUACCGUAAGAAUAAGGAUCGGCUAACUCCGUGCCAGCAGCCGCGGUAAUACGGAGGAUCCAAGCGUUAUCCGGAAUCAUUGGGUUUAAAGGGUCCGUAGGCGGCCUUAUAAGUCAGUGGUGAAAUCCGGCAGCUUAACUGUCGAACUGCCAUUGAUACUGUAGGGCUUGAAUUACUGUGAAGUAACUAGAAUAUGUAGUGUAGCGGUGAAAUGCUUAGAUAUUACAUGGAAUACCAAUUGCGAAGGCAGGUUACUAACAUUAUAUUGACGCUGAUGGACGAAAGCGUGGGUAGCGAACAG